Molecule: ribosomal RNA, 938 nt
Filed under: Acinetobacter sp.
Lineage: Bacteria; Pseudomonadati; Pseudomonadota; Gammaproteobacteria; Moraxellales; Moraxellaceae
Description: bacterial SSU rRNA
Rfam family: Bacterial small subunit ribosomal RNA
Source: RNAcentral
AGGUUGCUUCGGUAACUGACCUAGCGGCGGACGGGUGAGUAAUGCUUAGGAAUCUGCCUAUUAGUGGGGGACAACGUUCCGAAAGGAAUGCUAAUACCGCAUACGCCCUACGGGGGAAAGCAGGGGAUCUUCGGACCUUGCGCUAAUAGAUGAGCCUAAGUCGGAUUAGCUAGUUGGUGGGGUAAAGGCCUACCAAGGUAGACGAUCUGUAGCGGGUCUGAGAGGAUGAUCCGCCACACUGGGACUGAGACACGGCCCAGACUCCUACGGGAGGCAGCAGUGGGGAAUAUUGGACAAUGGGCGCAAGCCUGAUCCAGCCAUGCCGCGUGUGUGAAGAAGGCCUUUUGGUUGUAAAGCACUUUAAGCGAGGAGGAGGCUCCUUUAGUUAAUACCUAAAGAGAGUGGACGUUACUCGCAGAAUAAGCACCGGCUAACUCUGUGCCAGCAGCCGCGGUAAUACAGAGGGUGCGAGCGUUAAUCGGAUUUACUGGGCGUAAAGCGUGCGUAGGCGGCUUUUUAAGUCGGAUGUGAAAUCCCUGAGCUUAACUUAGGAAUUGCAUUCGAUACUGGAAAGCUAGAGUAUGGGAGAGGAUGGUAGAAUUCCAGGUGUAGCGGUGAAAUGCGUAGAGAUCUGGAGGAAUACCGAUGGCGAAGGCAGCCAUCUGGCCUAAUACUGACGCUGAGGUACGAAAGCAUGGGGAGCAAACAGGAUUAGAUACCCUGGUAGUCCAUGCCGUAAACGAUGUCUACUAGCCGUUGGGGCCUUUGAGGCUUUAGUGGCGCAGCUAACGCGAUAAGUAGACCGCCUGGGGAGUACGGUCGCAAGACUAAAACUCAAAUGAAUUGACGGGGGGCCCGCACAAGCGGUGGAGCAUGUGGUUUAAUUCGAUGCAACGCGGAAGAACCUUACCUGGCCUUGACAUACUAAAGAACUUUCC